Molecule: ribosomal RNA, 468 nt
Filed under: uncultured bacterium
Lineage: Bacteria
Description: partial 16S ribosomal RNA
Rfam family: Bacterial small subunit ribosomal RNA
Source: RNAcentral
GACGAACGCUGGCGGCGUACUUAACACAUGCAAGUCGAACGGAAAGGCCCUGCUUUUGUGGGGUGCUCGAGUGGCGAACGGGUGAGUAACACGUGAGUAACCUGCCCAUGACUUUGGGAUAACUUCAGGAAACUGGGGCUAAUACCGGAUAGGAGCUCCUGCUGCAUGGUGGGGGUUGGAAAGUUUCGGCGGUUGGGGAUGGACUCGCGGCUUAUCAGCUUGUUGGUGGGGUAGUGGCUUACCAAGGCUUUGACGGGUAGCCGGCCUGAGAGGGUGACCGGCCACAUUGGGACUGAGAUACGGCCCAGACUCCUACGGGAGGCAGCAGUGGGGAAUAUUGCACAAUGGGCGGAAGCCUGAUGCAGCAACGCCGCGUGCGGGAUGACGGCCUUCGGGUUGUAAACCGCUUUCGCCUGUGACGAAGCGUGAGUGACGGUAAUGGGUAAAGAAGCACCGGCUAACUACGUG